Molecule: ribosomal RNA, 528 nt
Filed under: Trigonopterus silvicola
Lineage: Eukaryota; Metazoa; Arthropoda; Insecta; Coleoptera; Curculionidae
Description: partial large subunit ribosomal RNA
Rfam family: Bacterial large subunit ribosomal RNA
Source: RNAcentral
AUUUCAGGUCUGGCCUGCCCGCUGAUUUUUAAAUGGCCGCGGUAUAUUGACCGUGCAAAGGUAGCAUAGUAACUAGUUUUUUAAUUGGGAGCUUGAAUGAAAGGUUUGAUGAAAGAGUAGCUGUCUCUGGAAAAAUUAAAUAGAAUUUUAUUUCUAAGUGAAAAAGCUUAGAUGACUAUAGAAGACGAGAAGACCCUAUAGAGUUUUAUAAAUUAAAAAUUUCUGAGGGUGAGGAAAGGUUAAUUAGGGGUUUGAAAUUUAUUUUAUUGGGGUGAUAGGAAAAUUUGAUAAACUUUUCUUUAUUUGGAAUACUAUUAAGUAAACAGAUGAUCCUGUAGUUUAGAUUAAAAGAUUAAAUUACCUUAGGGAUAACAGCGUAAUUUUUUCUAGAGUUCUUAUCGAAGAAAAAGUUUACGACCUCGAUGUUGGAUUAAAAUUUAUUGUUGGUGUAGAAGCUAAACAAAAUUAGGUCUGUUCGACCUUUAAAAUUUUACAUGAUCUGAGUUUAAACCGGCGUGAGCCAGGUCG